Seriola aureovittata is the source of this 2104-nucleotide long non-coding RNA. RefSeq lists it as uncharacterized. The record is from RefSeq and is a predicted model, not a curated record. The transcript is spliced from 2 exons. Lineage: Eukaryota; Metazoa; Chordata; Actinopteri; Carangiformes; Carangidae.
ACACGCUAGCAUGACAAAUCCACUCGCAAAAGUGAACUCGAGUCAUCACUGAAGUUCAGUUUCAGCCACAUCUGGAUUCCAUGGCUCCACUUCCUGUAUCGACCUCACAGGCUUUUAUUCGCUGGGCCAGAGUGAAGCUUCAGUUGUGCUCCUAAAUGUUCUGCUUCAUGAACGGCUCCAAAACAAGCUCCUCAUCAUCAGUGCCAUCAUGCGCAUCUUCAUCCGCAGAGCUGGUGCCAUCAAAACCCGUCAAUAUCAAACACAAUGCUUCACCAUCAUGUUACCAUGACGACAAGGUUGUAAAGAAUAUGCUUCUUCAUCAGUGUGGCUGCAUUUAUUCUUUAUAAGAGUGAGACAACAGCGCCAUCAUGAGGUCAAACAGGAAAAACAACAUUACCCACUAUCACUUGCAUCCAGCAUCCCAUGAAAAACAACAGUGUCAUUCCUAAAUACCAUCCAGCAAUAGCAGAGUCAUCAGUUUCUAUUAAGAUUUAUAAUGUUUUAUAAAUCAUAAAUCAGCUAUGUGGGAGGAAAAGAUGUAAGACAAAAAAAAGGAGCAUUUUGUGAUGAUCUGCCUUUUUUCCCCCAAGAUCUGUUUAAUGUCACCUCUCACAGCUCAGACCAUGUCCUCCCCCUUCACACCUGCAAUUCUCCUUCCGCCCACAAGAUGUCCCCAGACUUUUUUUUCCCUGUUGACCUUUUAUUACAGUAAAGAGAGAAAAUUAACUUUAGUUGCCAUUUUUAGGUUGGAACAACUUCAUAAAAUGAAGUAAACAACUAAAUUUCAAGUAAACUUAACGAGUGAUGUAAAGUUACAUUUAUUAAGGCAAUCAGUUUCCUGGAUUCUUUAAGAUCAACUUGUCACAUUUUACAGUGUGGCUAUAAAGUUGUUUUUGCCUUAUGAAGCGAAUCACUAAAUCAACCCGACUUAGUGUCUGCAUUUGGUUCCACCUCUACCUGUGCUGUUAUCAGUGAAUCCUGAAUGUGAUAUCUUCAUGUUAUCAUGAAUGACAUCACAUGAAUGGCUUUCAUUUGAACGCCCCCUUAUGGUUUCAAUAUCUCAUUCCAUCCGUUCAAAGUGUAUCCGGUCAGUUUAAAAUUGGCCCAGUACUCCCUUUACACAUCCAUAGCCAGUCAGCACAUUGCUGGGGUUUACUUCUGAACAAUCUGAAUUGGGUUCUGUCCAGUCAUGUUGUUUUCUGUGUUGUUGUUGUGUCUCGCACCCCUGGGCCACCAAAUAUUUUGGCAGAUGAAGUUUUAUAUUUGCUGUGGAGGACGUGGACUUUGUCCCCAAUAAGAAUCUCUUUGUGUUCAGUACAGACAGGAGGGACCAUUACUGUCAGGAGGUAUUGUAAGUAGAUGAAGUCUGACAUAAAUUAAGCUGAAUUUUGGAAUUAUCUUCUCUCAAAACAUGAGGAGUAUGGAUUUUAUCCUCCAUUGAAAUCAUAUUAGUAAGAGAUUCCCUGAAUGUAAUGUUCAAUGUUGUUUUAAAACAGACAUAUAAAAAAACUUUGGACCUGCGUUAUAAACUCUAAAAGGCAGCUACAAUAAUUAUACCAUAGCCCCUCCCAGCUCCUGACUGUGGAGUGUUUUAUGACUCCGAACAUAAUAAAGUGAACAGAGAGGACAUUUUGAGAUUCACCCAGUGAAACUCCGUCCUCUGAUGACAACAGACAGACAAACACAUCAUCACUUUCAGAGUCACCAACUCUUUAAUUACCCAACAAUAUUGUAAAAUACAUUUAAAAUCAAUAUGAGUCAUAGUCCUCAUAGUUUUUAUGCUGAACUUAUCUCCUUCACAAACAGCACAAGAAAGUGCUCAAGUCAUUCUGUAAAAUAAAUCUUAACAGGAAAAUAAAAAUCUUAAUCCACUCUUGAUAUUCUAUAAGAUAAAACAGUGCUUAAAAAACUAUUUAUGUAUUUUAGCAUUUAGCACUUGGCAUAGAUUAGAUUAGAUGACAGUGAAAAUUAAAUUAAAAUUAAUCAUUAAAAAAGUUAUCAAAAAGCUCCAUGAAGCAACAUUUUUCACAUGAAUAUUAAAUCAAAUGAUUCUCCAAAAUGACAAGAUUUGUGCUACUUUGUUUUUUUUUGUGGGCAGCCACAA